Drosophila mojavensis is the source of this 687-nucleotide long non-coding RNA. RefSeq lists it as uncharacterized. The record is from RefSeq and is a predicted model, not a curated record. NCBI's taxonomy places the organism in Eukaryota, Metazoa, Arthropoda, Insecta, Diptera, Drosophilidae. The transcript has 2 exons.
UUGGGCAAUGUAGUCAUAAGUAGCUUCGGCUUCGGUGCACUGCGAGUGUCGACAGUUGAAAAGCAAUCGUUGAACAAAGCAGAUGGGCGGAGGGUCAGCUAAAGUAGGAGUUAGAUUUGCAAUCGAAAAGUGUGCAUAAUUUGAAUUGAGCACCACUGCGAGACGCCAAAUCACACACACACACACACACUCGCACAGCUACAUAUACACACAUACGCCACUAGGUAAACAACACAACUGUGCGGCAGCGGCGGCUAUAAAUAAAUUUGAAUGUUGCCAUGACGUCAUCGAUGGAGUAAACAUCUGGCGCUUUAACACCAAGAAAGUGCAACUUAUGCGGGCAGCAAAUACCCAGCACAUGUCUCACAGAUACCAAAAAGUCGAAAUGGUCUGCAUAAUUGUAUUUGGACACCUUGACCAAAAAUUAAUGAAUGAAGCAAAGCGAAAUUUGGGUCACUUCUAGCGUUAUGAUGAUAAUGACGAUGAUGUAAUAUCGUUAAUAUUUCAAUUUGGAAUGUUCUGCUUGUUUCGCUUACUGAACGGGCGGCAUUUCUGGUAAUUGGCUUUCACUUGUUGCACUUGUUGCAGCUCGCCUCAGUCAAUUUCUACGUACACGCUCGACGUUUUUAGCUUCACUGAAAACGGCAAACAAAAUAUAAAAGUAUCUUUUCUAUAAAUCAGUGUUGA